This 1799-nucleotide unclassified non-coding RNA is filed under the name Haliotis rubra (blacklip abalone). RNAcentral's name for it is "uncharacterized LOC124256646, transcript variant X7". Lineage: Eukaryota; Metazoa; Mollusca; Gastropoda; Lepetellida; Haliotidae. The record is from RNAcentral.
UGCUACGUCACUGCACUUCCGGCUAUGGCGGCUUAUUUUUGUUCAGGAGACCAAAGUUCACGUAGGCAGCGAGAUGUACCUAUUCGCGCUUUCUGAUUCGCAUCACGGGAUUUGAAUAUUAAGAGGACAUACUUUCAAUUUUGUUCCAACUAUUGUCAUUGAAUUGUGUCUGAAAUGGCCUCAGAUGAUAAGAAUCGCUUCUCCUCUGGACAACAACAUUACCUGAGAACAACGCAGUUGGUGGCGAUGUUGGCACUGACGUUCCUAUUGUUCGCGACACAAACCGAAGCCAAGUUUUGUACCUCUCUCAAGAUAAUGAAGCCAGAUGUAAACCAGUAUGGCCAAAAACUAUGCACAGAGUCCUACCAGUCCAGAUGUGGCUGGUUUACAUUCAAGAUGUGCACAUAUUACGAGAAGAUCCCAUGCACAAAGGAGCGGAAUGACACAAAGGCCAAGUUCAAGAUUGUGACAGAGUGUUGUAAAGGCUACAUGUAUGAUGCAAACAACAUAACAUGCAUCCCUGAUGAGCUUACAACAAAAGCUGACGAAGUUACAACGAAAGGGGAUCCGGCAUCAGCAAAGAAUAUUCAAGACCCAGAUGAUGAUGACGGAAUUAACAUUUCCCAUGGUGCAUUUGCUGCCAUUGCCAGCGCAUGUCUGUUCAUCAUUUGUGUGACAGUUGUCAUUGUCAUCCAUGUCAGGAAGAAGCAACUGAAGGAAGAGAAGGCGAGGGAGGAGGCCAAGUCCCCCCUGGAGCUGGAGAAGAUGGUGCAGGCCUAACUUGAGAGGCAAGGAAGAGGUGAGGUCUGAAGCUGACGGAGGAAAUCGUGAAUGUCCUGAUGGUGGUGGCAGAGACUUGACAAGGAUGCUUGUAUAUUGGGCAAUGGAAUUUGGAAUUGGUAUUUUCAGUGUCUUGUGCUUGUGUGAUUCCAUGGAUCUAGUCGCCAGGAAAUCAUUCUUCAGGGAUUGUGGUUUAUUGUGGCCAUCUACAUGACAUCUACAGGAUGCCAGACAGGUGUGGAGUCACCACAACAGAUCAUACUGGAAAUUUCUUUUUACGAAAUUUCAAAUUGAUUAUUUGUCUGUUGGAAUAUAUUGUCCUUUUUGUGUCUAUAUGGGGAGGCUACAAAUAUUUUUGCUCAUGUGUAUUUCCAGUUUUCUUGAACAUGUUCAAUCUUCAGAUAUGAGAAUAGUCCUAAAAUUCAGGCUCUUAUAUUUGUAGUCUUGAAAUGGUUACAAAUUUUCAAGGUAAUUCCAUACACACUUGCAUGAGAGUGGAAACUUGUAUUGAACUGGAGAAUACUCAUGAACAGGUGCUUGUUGCAGCACCAUAGAUGCAGUGUCUCUGCACCCAGGUGCUUGUUGCAGCACUGUAGAUGCAGUGUCUCUGCACCCAGGUGCUUGUUGCAGCACUGUAGAUGCAGUGUCUCUGCACCCAGGUGCUUGUUGCAGCACUGUAGAUGCAGUGUCUCUGCACCCAGGUGCUUGUUGCAGCACUGUAGAUGCAGUGUCUCUGCACCCAGGUGCUUGUUGCAGCACUGUAGAUGCAGUGUCUCUGCACCCAGGUGCUUGUUGCAGCACUGUAGAUGCAGUGUCUGACUGCGCCCAGGUGCUUGUUGCAGCAGGUGUCUGUAGAUGCAGUGUCUCGGCGCCCAAUGUCUAUAGCUUGUCAUGUGUGUUAACUGUACAUAUUAUUUAUGAAGGAGCACAUUCCAUAGACACAGUGCAAUGUCCUUUUUUGUCAGGUAUCUUUUACCUGUUUUUUUUCAUCAGAUUUUUUUUCAGAUUUCUUUCUUUCC